This 500-nucleotide ribosomal RNA is filed under the name uncultured marine eukaryote. RNAcentral's name for it is "SSU rRNA". It matches the Rfam family "Eukaryotic small subunit ribosomal RNA", at positions 663 to 1161 of the family's 1831-position model. The record is from RNAcentral.
CGCUCUUCAGCGCUACUGCCCCGCUUUGCCCGUGUGAUUGACGGAGGUUUCGGGGUGCUCUUCGUUGAGUGACUCGAGCGCCGUCAGGUUUACUUUGAAAAAAUUAGAGUGCUCAAAGCAGGCUUUUCACGCUUGAAUAUUCGUGCAUGGAAUAAUGGAAUAGGAACUCGUUUCUAUUUUGUUGGUUUUCGGAAAUCGAGUUAAUGAUUAACAGGGACAAUUGGGGGCAUUAGUAUUCAGACGACAGAGGUGAAAUUCUUGGACCGUCUGAAGACUGACUACUGCGAAAGCAUUUGCCAAGAGUGUUUUCAUUAAUCAAGAACGAAAGUUAGAGGUUCGAAGGCGAUCAGAUACCGCCCUAGUUCUAACCAUAAACGAUGCCAGCUAGCGAUCUACCGAGUUUUUUUUGUAGGCUCCGCAGGAAGCUUUCGGGAAACCAAAGCUUUUGGGUUCCGGGGGAAGUAUGGUUGCAAAGCUGAAACUUAAAGGAAUUGACGGAA